GAGUUUGAUCUUGGCUCAGAUUGAACGCUGGCGGCAUGCCUUACACAUGCAAGUCGAACGGCAGCACGGGAGCUUGCUCCUGGUGGCGAGUGGCGAACGGGUGAGUAAUGCAUCGGAACGUGUCCUGGAGUGGGGGAUAACGUAGCGAAAGUUACGCUAAUACCGCAUAUUCUGUGAGCAGGAAAGCGGGGGACCUUCGGGCCUCGCGCUCUUGGAGCGGCCGAUGUCGGAUUAGCUAGUUGGUGAGGUAAAGGCUCACCAAGGCGACGAUCCGUAGCAGGUCUGAGAGGAUGAUCUGCCACACUGGAACUGAGACACGGUCCAGACUCCUACGGGAGGCAGCAGUGGGGAAUUUUGGACAAUGGGGGCAACCCUGAUCCAGCCAUGCCGCGUGAGUGAAGAAGGCC
Molecule: ribosomal RNA, 407 nt
Filed under: bacterium enrichment culture clone ALO1_GLFRUDD03HCKCY
Lineage: Bacteria
Description: bacterial SSU rRNA
Rfam family: Bacterial small subunit ribosomal RNA
Source: RNAcentral